Dasypus novemcinctus (nine-banded armadillo) is the source of this 152-nucleotide unclassified non-coding RNA. Lineage: Eukaryota; Metazoa; Chordata; Mammalia; Cingulata; Dasypodidae. The record is from Ensembl.
AGAAUAUCAGAGAAGAAAUUAUAAGGAGGACUAGAGAAUAGGAAAGAUAUAAACUGACACCCCAAGGUGAGAAAAGACAUAUAAAGAAAAGACAAAUGCGCAUGAAAAAAAUAGACUGAUGGGUUAACAUCUCCAUUGUGUGGCAUUUUCUU